Molecule: ribosomal RNA, 253 nt
Filed under: uncultured bacterium
Lineage: Bacteria
Description: partial 16S ribosomal RNA
Rfam family: Bacterial small subunit ribosomal RNA
Source: RNAcentral
UACGUAGGGGGCAAGCGUUGUCCGGAUUUACUGGGCGUAAAGAGCGUGUAGGCGGCCAAACAGGUCCGUUGUGAAAACUGGAGGCUCAACCUCCAGACGUCGACGGAAACCGUAUGGCUAGAGUCCGGAAGAGGAGAGUGGAAUUCCUGGUGUAGCGGUGAAAUGCGUAGAUAUCUGGAGGAACACCGGUGGCGAAGGCGGCAUCCUGGACCGGCAUUGACGCUGAGGCGCGAAAGCUAGGGGAGCAAACGGG